This 466-nucleotide ribosomal RNA is filed under the name uncultured bacterium. RNAcentral describes it as "partial 16S ribosomal RNA". It matches the Rfam family "Bacterial small subunit ribosomal RNA", at positions 28 to 507 of the family's 1533-position model. The record is from RNAcentral.
GAUGAACGCUGGCGGCGUGCUUAACACAUGCAAGUCGAACGAUGAAGCCCAGCUUGCUGGGUGGAGUAGUGGCGAACGGGUGAGUAACACGUGAGUAACCUGCCCUUAACUCUGGGAUAAGCCUGUGAAACUGGGUCUAACACCGGACAGGAGCGCCUACCGCAUGGUGGGUGUUGGAAAGAUUUAUCGGUUUUGGAUGGAUUCGCGGCCUAUCAGCUUGUUGGUGAGGGAAUGGCUCACGAAGGCGGAGACGGGUAGACGGCCUGAGAGGGUGGCCGGCCACACUGCGCCUGCGAGAGGGAGCAGACUCCUACCGGAGGCAGCAGUCGAAAGUAUUGCGCAAUAGGCGCGCGCCUGAUGCGGAGACGCUGCGUGAGUAAUGACGGCCUUCGAGUUAUGAACCUAUUUCAGUGGAGAAGAAGCGGACGUGACGGUACCUACAGAAAAAGCACCGGCUAACUACGUG